RNAcentral lists this transfer RNA (99 nucleotides) under Gemmatimonadota bacterium. RNAcentral's name for it is "tRNA-His". Lineage: Bacteria; Pseudomonadati; Gemmatimonadota. The record is from RNAcentral.
CCCGCGAUUGGCGCGCGGCAGCAGGCCGUAGUGAAUCGUGAGUUCAUCCGAGAGGAUGUGGCCUCCGCGCGCCGCUUUGAUCGGAUCGAGGUCGCCGAU